Molecule: ribosomal RNA, 482 nt
Filed under: uncultured bacterium
Lineage: Bacteria
Description: partial 16S ribosomal RNA
Rfam family: Bacterial small subunit ribosomal RNA
Source: RNAcentral
AUUGAACGCUGGCGGCAUGCUUUAUACAUGCAAGUCGAACGGUAACAGGCCGCAAGGUGCUGACGAGUGGCGAACGGGUGAGUAAUGCAUCGGAACGUGCCCAGUCGUGGGGGAUAACUACUCGAAAGAGUAGCUAAUACCGCAUACGAUCUAUGGAUGAAAGCGGGGGACCGUAAGGCCUCGCGCGAUUGGAGCGGCCGAUGUCAGAUUAGGUAGUUGGUGGGGUAAAGGCUCACCAAGCCAACGAUCUGUAGCUGGUCUGAGAGGACGACCAGCCACACUGGGACUGAGACACGGCCCAGACUCCUACGGGAGGCAGCAGCGGGGAAUUUUGGACAAUGGGCGCAAGCCUGAUCCAGCAAUGCCGCGUGCAGGAAGAAGGCCUUCGGGAUGUAAACUGCUUUUGUACGGAACGAAACGGCUCUGGUUAAUACCCGGGGCUAAUGACGGUACCGUAAGAAUAAGCACCGGCUAACUACGUG